Molecule: long non-coding RNA, 1139 nt
Organism: Clupea harengus (Atlantic herring)
Lineage: Eukaryota; Metazoa; Chordata; Actinopteri; Clupeiformes; Clupeidae
Source: Ensembl
ACUGUCACAAGGCUUUCAGGGUUACUGUGAUAGAUGUGCACAGACAACACACAGUAAUGACAGUAUGACGCGGUGACAGGAUGACAUGUGACUCGCCUCAGUCAGAGUGGCCUCAGUCAGAGUCUUGGUUUCCCCACCACACUGGCUGGCCCAUCUCCAGAGCUGUGGAGGGGAGUGGAAGUGGAAGUCCCAGCAGACAGCAUUUUCUCAUUCCCAUCAACACCAUUCUCAUCAACACCAUUCCCAUCAGCACCAUUCUCAUCAACACCAUUCUCAUCAGCACCAUUCUCAUCAACACCAUUCUCAUCAACACCAUUCUCAUCAGCACCAUUCUCAUCAACACCAUUCUCAUCAGCACCAUUCUCAUCAACACCAUUCUCAUCAACACCAUUCUCAUCAGCACCAUUCUCAUCAACACCAUUCUCAUCAACACCAUUCUCAUCAGCACCAUUCUCAUCAACACCAUUCUCAUCAACACCAUUCUCAUCAACACCAUUCUCAUGAACACCACUCUCAUCAACACCAUUCCCAUCAACACCAUUCUCAUCAGCACCACUGACUGUAAAGCAGCAGUACGGAUUUGCGCUAAAGAUAGCUAGUUUACUACCUAGGGCUACAAUAACCUCACAAACACCAACGCACCAACAACCGUAUAAUUGGCCACUGAUAGAUUACAUAGUGCACAGACUAGGCGGUGGGUGAGAAUGACACGUGAGAGGUGUUUUUUUUUUCAGCCCUUCACUUGGCUUAAGCCCCUUGAGACAAUUUGAUUGUUUUGGCGCUAUCUAAAUACAAUUGAAUUUAAUUGAAUUCACCAUAUACCAUCAAAAUGAAUUUGAAGAUGAUACCAAAACGAGUUGCCUAUAAAUGCAUACCUCAAAAACAACAAGUGUUGCAUACUGCUUUACUGUAAGAUUCCAGCACAGUAUCUAACCAGACUACACAUAUUACACACUCUAACCAAACAUAUUACCCAAUGCUAGCAUUUAGCAGAGUGUGUAUGUUGGCAGGAGGGAACACUGUAUGAGGUGUGUUUUGUUUUCAUUUUGUCAGUUGAGUUCUGAAACAGCUGAGUAACUAAAUUCACAACCCGUGCUUUUAUGUUGAGGAACAGCAGCAUUUGAUGUGGUUACAUAGAG